CUCCUCUACCAACGUGUCGCGUAGUCGCCUCCACCUACG
RNAcentral lists this unclassified non-coding RNA (39 nucleotides) under Sorangium cellulosum So ce56. RNAcentral's name for it is "sce_s2m_83". The record is from RNAcentral. Lineage: Bacteria; Pseudomonadati; Myxococcota; Polyangiales; Polyangiaceae.